CGUCGUUUGGAUACACCUUUUCACCACCUGUUCGUGUAGCUCCAGGCGUUUAAAGUUUGAGAGACUCGCUUACAGAGAUAAUCUUGGAGGAAGUGAUAAGGAGGAUAACUGUCUUACCUGAUCCCAGACAUCCAUCAACAUAACAUCAUCCUCUGCCAGGUCAUCUUGGUUAAACUCACCAGAGCAGGCGAAGAGGCGGGGAGGAUGUGCUAUAGAUUUGCUCUCCAACAUCUCUGAUGUCUGAUAUUCCAUCUUUCCACCCAGAGCUUUCCAGAAGUCCUCUUUCAAUGGGCAACAAGUCAACAAUGAAGCAGUCACCGUUGUUGAAACUGGCCCAGGCGAGAGGCACUUCUGUGGCCCGGACAGUGCGCCUGCCCUUGACGUGGAAGAGCCGGCAAGCAGUAAGAUCAUUGGUGACCACGUGUUGAAACCCU
This is a long non-coding RNA of Puntigrus tetrazona (Sumatra barb), 434 nucleotides long. RefSeq lists it as uncharacterized. The record is from RefSeq and is a predicted model, not a curated record. NCBI's taxonomy places the organism in Eukaryota, Metazoa, Chordata, Actinopteri, Cypriniformes, Cyprinidae. The transcript is spliced from 4 exons.